GAUGAACGCUGGCGGCGUGCUUAACACAUGCAAGUCGAACGGGAAACCUUUUAUUGAAGCUUCGGCAGAUUUAGCUGGUUUCUAGUGGCGGACGGGUGAGUAACGCGUGGGUAACCUGCCCUAUACAGGGGGAUAACAACCAGAAAUGGUUGCUAAUACCGCAUAAGCGCACAGGACCGCAUGGUCUGGUGUGAAAAACUCCGGUGGUAUAGGAUGGACCCGCGUUGGAUUAGCCAGUUGGCAGGGUAACGGCCUACCAAAGCGACGAUCCAUAGCCGGCCUGAGAGGGUGAACGGCCACAUUGGGACUGAGACACGGCCCAGACUCCUACGGGAGGCAGCAGUGGGGAAUAUUGCACAAUGGGGGAAACCCUGAUGCAGCGACGCCGCGUGAAGGAAGAAGUAUCUCGGUAUGUAAACUUCUAUCAGCAGGGAAGAU
RNAcentral lists this ribosomal RNA (438 nucleotides) under uncultured bacterium. RNAcentral describes it as "bacterial SSU rRNA". It matches the Rfam family "Bacterial small subunit ribosomal RNA", at positions 28 to 449 of the family's 1533-position model. The record is from RNAcentral.